UACGGAGGGUGCAAGCGUUGCUCGGAAUUAUUGGGCGUAAAGGGCAGGUAGGUGGUCUUAUUUGUCUGAUGUGAAAGCCUUGGGCUUAACCUAAGAAGUGCGUCAGAAACGGUAAGACUUAGAGUCCUAGAGAGGGUUGUGGAAUUCCCGGUGUAGCGGUGAAAUGCGUAGAGAUCGGGAGGAACACCAGUGGCGAAGGCGGCAACCUGGAUAGGCACUGACACUCAACUGCGAAAGCGUGGGGAGCAAACAGG
Molecule: ribosomal RNA, 254 nt
Filed under: uncultured bacterium
Lineage: Bacteria
Description: partial 16S ribosomal RNA
Rfam family: Bacterial small subunit ribosomal RNA
Source: RNAcentral